This 253-nucleotide ribosomal RNA is filed under the name uncultured bacterium. RNAcentral's name for it is "partial 16S ribosomal RNA". It matches the Rfam family "Bacterial small subunit ribosomal RNA", at positions 524 to 776 of the family's 1533-position model. The record is from RNAcentral.
GACGGAGGAUGCAAGCGUUAUCCGGAAUGAUUGGGCGUAAAGCGUCCGCAGGUGGCAGUUCAAGUCUGCUGUCAAAGACCGGGGCUUAACUUCGGAAAGGCAGUGGAAACUGAACGGCUAGAGUAUGGUAGGGGCAGAGGGAAUUCCUGGUGUAGCGGUGAAAUGCGUAGAGAUCAGGAAGAACAUCGGUGGCGAAGGCGCUCUGCUGGACCAUAACUGACACUCAGGGACGAAAGCUAAGGGAGCGAAUGGG